RNAcentral lists this non-coding RNA (28 nucleotides) under Mus musculus (house mouse). The record is from RNAcentral. Lineage: Eukaryota; Metazoa; Chordata; Mammalia; Rodentia; Muridae.
UAGGUCUUUUGCCUUGUUUACUCUUGAC